GAGCUCACUUCGGCAGCACAUACACUAAAAUUAGAACAAUACAGAGAAGAUUAGCAUGGCCCCUGCACAAGGAUGACACGCAAAUUCAUGAAGCGUUCCAUAUUUUU
This 107-nucleotide small nuclear RNA is filed under the name Jaculus jaculus (lesser Egyptian jerboa). Lineage: Eukaryota; Metazoa; Chordata; Mammalia; Rodentia; Dipodidae. The record is from RNAcentral.